This 73-nucleotide transfer RNA is filed under the name Dehalococcoidia bacterium. RNAcentral describes it as "tRNA-Met". It matches the Rfam family "tRNA". Rfam says of the family: Transfer RNA (tRNA) molecules are approximately 80 nucleotides in length. Their secondary structure includes four short double-helical elements and three loops (D, anti-codon, and T loops). Lineage: Bacteria; Bacillati; Chloroflexota; Dehalococcoidia. The record is from RNAcentral.
GGCAACGUAGCUCAGCGGUCAGAGCGGGCGCUUCAUAAGCGCUAGGUCACAGGUUCAAAUCCUGUCGUUGCCA